AAAUUUAUUACAGUAAAAGACACAUUGCCAUUAAUCCCCCUCAAAAAUACUCCCCCUAGCGAGGCUUAUCCAUUGCACUUUGGAUGUGCUGACCCCUGCGAUUUCCCCAAAUGUGGGAAACUCGACUGCAUAAUUUGUGGUAGUGGGGGACUGGGUUCGCGCUUUCCCCUG
Molecule: small nuclear RNA, 171 nt
Organism: Heterocephalus glaber (naked mole-rat)
Lineage: Eukaryota; Metazoa; Chordata; Mammalia; Rodentia; Bathyergidae
Gene: U1
Rfam family: U1 spliceosomal RNA
About the family: U1 is a small nuclear RNA (snRNA) component of the spliceosome (involved in pre-mRNA splicing).
Source: Ensembl